CAAAAACAUCUCUUUUUGACACAUAAAAAGUACCGUCUGCUCAAUGCAAUUUGUAAAUAGCCGCAGUAUUCUGACUGUGCUAAGGUAGCAUAAUCAUUAGUCUUUUAAUUGAAGGCUGGUAUGAAUGACGAGACGAGAAAAUAGCUGUCUCUAAAAUAAAUCUUGAAUUUUAUUUCUAAGUGAAAAAGCUUAGAUAAUUUUAAAGGACGAUCAGACCCUUUGGAGCUUUAUUUAUUUUAAAUUUUAAUUUAUUUUAGAUUAUUGAAUGAAUAAUAAAUUUUGUUGGGGCGACAGAGAGUAAUAAAUACCACUCUUUUUUUUAAACAAUUAUAAUUGAAAAAUUGAUCCUUAAAGUAAGAUUAAAAGACUAAGUUACCCUAGGGAUAACAGCGUAAUCUUCUUGGAGAGUUCAAAUCGAUAAGAAGGUUUGCGACCUCGAUGUUGGAUUAAGAGAUUGACACAGGAGCAGAAGUUUUGUUGGAAAGUCUGUUCGACUUUUAAUUUCUUACAUGAUCUGA
RNAcentral lists this ribosomal RNA (518 nucleotides) under Daphnia sinensis. RNAcentral's name for it is "partial large subunit ribosomal RNA". It matches the Rfam family "Bacterial large subunit ribosomal RNA", at positions 1808 to 2608 of the family's 2925-position model. Lineage: Eukaryota; Metazoa; Arthropoda; Branchiopoda; Diplostraca; Daphniidae. The record is from RNAcentral.